UGGGGUGUGACUCAGUGGUAGAGCAGCCGCCUAGAAUCCCCCAGUGAGGGGCUAUGUCUGUCCUUCAGCAGGAGAAUACUUACUUAGCAUGUGUGAGGCCCUGGGUUCCAUUCCCAGCACCUCAA
RNAcentral lists this transfer RNA (125 nucleotides) under Neotoma lepida (desert woodrat). It matches the Rfam family "tRNA". Rfam says of the family: Transfer RNA (tRNA) molecules are approximately 80 nucleotides in length. Their secondary structure includes four short double-helical elements and three loops (D, anti-codon, and T loops). The record is from Rfam by way of RNAcentral. Lineage: Eukaryota; Metazoa; Chordata; Mammalia; Rodentia; Cricetidae.